CCAUAGCAUCCACUUAAAAUAUUAAAAAAAAUUGAAUCAGUCUGCUUACUUCCUUUUUGUCCUUCUCUCCCAAAUUACAAACCCUCAGAACUCCACUUCAUAGCAAUUUUCGUGCCCUGUUCUUGCCUUAUUCGAAUCAUUCAUCCCAACUCCACAUCGUAGAAGGCUUCUCGUCAUUCUCUCUUCCGCAUCAUCUCCUCCACCUCGCCGGAAACAAUGUCUCGACGGAUAAACAUUUGGUCACAACUCAGAGCCUCAGAUCUCUUGGUCCUAACCUUAUUCGAUUUGAGGGAAAAAUAUAGAUAUGUACCUCUCGUACUGGAGGUCGGACGGAGGAGAGCCGGAAGACUGGGCCGGAAAUGGAUCUCUUCUGCCACGCGGACUAGACGCCGGUGGAGGUCUGACGGAGGAGCCGGAGGAAAUGAAGGCAAGCUUAAUGGGAGUUGGAGAUUUUCGACUUCUGAACGGGGGCCUAGGGCGGGAGCCGUGUUUUGCUCUUUUUUUUAAUGAAUUAAAAAACACAUGACAUGCCACAUGGUAUAACACGUCAAGCGGGAAAACAAAGUGGUAGUAGAACUCAGCGGUAACUGUAACAUUACCCCCCAUGAUUCAUACGUUAGAGAAACCUGCACGUUACGUGCUCCA
Molecule: long non-coding RNA, 645 nt
Organism: Carya illinoinensis
Lineage: Eukaryota; Viridiplantae; Streptophyta; Magnoliopsida; Fagales; Juglandaceae
Exons: 2
Source: RefSeq, a predicted model, not a curated record